Molecule: ribosomal RNA, 843 nt
Filed under: Xenoacremonium recifei
Lineage: Eukaryota; Fungi; Ascomycota; Sordariomycetes; Hypocreales; Nectriaceae
Description: eukaryotic LSU rRNA
Rfam family: Eukaryotic large subunit ribosomal RNA
Source: RNAcentral
AGAAACCAACAGGGAUUGCCCUAGUAACGGCGAGUGAAGCGGCAACAGCUCAAAUUUUGAAAUCUGGCCCUCGGGUCCGAGUUGUAAUUUGUAGAGGAUGCUUUUGGUGCGGUACCUUCCGAGUUCCCUGGAACGGGACGCCAUAGAGGGUGAGAGCCCCGUCUGGUUGGAUACCAAUCCUCUGUAAAGCUCCUUCGACGAGUCGAGUAGUUUGGGAAUGCUGCUCUAAAUGGGAGGUAUAUGUCUUCUAAAGCUAAAUACCGGCCAGAGACCGAUAGCGCACAAGUAGAGUGAUCGAAAGAUGAAAAGCACUUUGAAAAGAGGGUUAAACAGUACGUGAAAUUGUUGAAAGGGAAGCGCUUGUGACCAGACUUGGGCAUGGUUAAUCAUCCAGCGUUCUCGCUGGUGCACUUGGCCUGCCCAGGCCAGCAUCAGUUCGGUGCGGGGGAUAAAGGCUUCGGGAAUGUGGCUCCUCCGGGAGUGUUAUAGCCCGUUGCGCAAUACCCUGCGCUGGACUGAGGUUCGCGCAUCUGCAUGGAUGCUGGCGUAAUGGUCAUCAGCGACCCGUCUUGAAACACGGACCAAGGAGUCGUCCUCGUAUGCGAGUGUUCGGGUGUUAAACCCCUACGCGUAAUGAAAGUGAACGCAGGUGAGAGCUUCGGCGCAUCAUCGACCGAUCCUGAUGUUCUCGGAUGGAUUUGAGUAAGAGCAUACGGGGCCGGACCCGAAAGAAGGUGAACUAUGCCUGUAUAGGGUGAAGCCAGAGGAAACUCUGGUGGAGGCUCGCAGCGGUUCUGACGUGCAAAUCGAUCGUCAAAUAUGGGCAUGGGGGCGAAAGACUAA